RNAcentral lists this ribosomal RNA (253 nucleotides) under uncultured bacterium. Its description in RNAcentral is "partial 16S ribosomal RNA". It matches the Rfam family "Bacterial small subunit ribosomal RNA", at positions 524 to 776 of the family's 1533-position model. The record is from RNAcentral.
GACGGAGGGGGCAAGCGUUGUCCGGAAUUACUGGGCGUAAAGCGCACGUAGGCGGCCUGGUGCGUCGGUGCUGAAAGCGCCCCGCUUAACGGGGCGAGGCGUGCCGAUACGACCGGGCUUGAGGCAGGCAGAGGGUGGCGGAAUUCCGGGUGUAGUGGUGAAAUGCGUAGAGAUCCGGAGGAACGCCUGUGGCGCAAGCGGCCACCUGGGCCUGAGCUGACGCUGAGGUGCGAAAGCGUGGGUAGCGUACCGG